This 77-nucleotide transfer RNA is filed under the name Bifidobacterium margollesii. Its description in RNAcentral is "tRNA-Pro". It matches the Rfam family "tRNA". From Rfam's summary of the family: Transfer RNA (tRNA) molecules are approximately 80 nucleotides in length. The record is from RNAcentral. Lineage: Bacteria; Bacillati; Actinomycetota; Actinomycetes; Bifidobacteriales; Bifidobacteriaceae.
CGGGCUGUAGCGCAGUUUGGUAGCGCGCCUGCUUUGGGAGCAGGAUGUCGCAGGUUCGAAUCCUGUCAGCCCGACUA